This 334-nucleotide unclassified non-coding RNA is filed under the name soil metagenome. Its description in RNAcentral is "partial contains 5.8S ribosomal RNA, internal transcribed spacer 2, and large subunit ribosomal RNA". The stretch from base 1 to 120 matches the Rfam family "5.8S ribosomal RNA", at positions 35 to 154 of the family's 154-position model. The record is from RNAcentral.
GAUGAAGAACUCAGCGAAAUGCGAUAAGUAAUGUGAAUUGCAGAAUUCAGUGAAUCAUCGAAUCUUUGAACGCACAUUGCGCCCGCCAGUAUUCUGGCGGGCAUGCCUGUUCGAGCGUCAUUUCAACCAUCAAGCCCCAGGCUUGUGUUGGAGCCCUGCGGCUGCCGCAGCCUCCCAAAACCAGUGGCGGGCUCGCUAUCACACCGAGUGCAGUAGUUUACUCUUCGCUCAGGGCGUGUGGCGGGUGCUAGCCGUAAAACCCCCAACUUCUCAAGGUUGACCUCGGAUCAGGUAGGAAUACCCGCUGAACUUAAGCAUAUCAAUAAGCGGAGGA